AAAACGAGUCUCUGAGGAUGGAAAGCACUGUGGUCUGUGCGUGGACUUGAGGCCGGUGAGAGGAGGGGCCAGAGCCGGGCAGGGAGUGCCGGCCCGCCCAUGUCAUCACUCACUCGCUGCCCACAGCACCCCACCUCAUAGAUACUGUCUACAGAUGACACACUGAGUCCCAGACAGGAGAUGCGGCUUGCCCAAGUCAGGCCUCUGCGAGAAGACAAAGGGGCACUGGAAUCCCCAUCAAAGGCCGCAGGACACAUGGCUUCCAGUGUGUGCAAAGAACUUUCAUGGUUACCCUCCGGUUUCUCCCUCACGACUUCGCUGCCAGAUAAGCAUAUUGUCCCCAUUCUGCAGGGGAGGAAACAG
This 363-nucleotide long non-coding RNA is filed under the name Equus caballus (horse). RNAcentral describes it as "lncRNA (ENSECAG00000051415.1)". The record is from RNAcentral. Lineage: Eukaryota; Metazoa; Chordata; Mammalia; Perissodactyla; Equidae.